RNAcentral lists this transfer RNA (65 nucleotides) under Dipodomys ordii (Ord's kangaroo rat). It matches the Rfam family "tRNA". Rfam says of the family: Transfer RNA (tRNA) molecules are approximately 80 nucleotides in length. Their secondary structure includes four short double-helical elements and three loops (D, anti-codon, and T loops). Further hydrogen bonds mediate the characteristic L-shaped molecular structure. tRNAs have two regions of fundamental functional importance: the anti-codon, which is responsible for specific mRNA codon recognition, and the 3' end, to which the tRNAs corresponding amino acid is attached (by aminoacyl-tRNA synthetases). tRNAs cope with the degeneracy of the genetic code in two manners: having more than one tRNA (with a specific anti-codon) for a particular amino acid; and 'wobble' base-pairing, i.e. permitting non-standard base-pairing at the 3rd anti-codon position. Lineage: Eukaryota; Metazoa; Chordata; Mammalia; Rodentia; Heteromyidae. The record is from Rfam by way of RNAcentral.
GGUGGCUCAGUGGUAGAGUGCUUACCUUACAUGCAGGAGGUCCUGGGUUCGAUUCCCCAGCACCA